AGGGCGAUCGUGCACAGGAUUCAAGGGGACAACUUCAGCUGUGAAAAUUUCUCUGUACUUUCUUCAUUAGAAACUCGAACUCUGAAGUAGGGGGACUGGUGUUGGGUAUAAAAUACCCCCCUAGCCGAAGUUCAUGCCAGGAGUGACCCUCCAGGGGUUCUACCGAUGUCCGACCUUCGACGACAUCUUCCCGAACCUCUCCGGCGGCCGAGCCUCCGUAACGUUCCCACGUUCUGCCGACGGAUAAACUGCCACCAGUGUAGGCCGGAUUCUC
RNAcentral lists this long non-coding RNA (274 nucleotides) under Elaeis guineensis (African oil palm). Its description in RNAcentral is "long non-coding RNA (EGUI_LNC053813)". Lineage: Eukaryota; Viridiplantae; Streptophyta; Magnoliopsida; Arecales; Arecaceae. The record is from RNAcentral.